UGGAGAGUUUGAUCCUGGCUCAGGACGAACGCUGGCGGCGUGCCUAAUACAUGCAAGUCGAACGAACUCUGGUAUUGAUUGGUGCUUGCAUCAUGAUUUACAUUUGAGUGAGUGGCGAACUGGUGAGUAACACGUGGGAAACCUGCCCAGAAGCGGGGGAUAACACCUGGAAACAGAUGCUAAUACCGCAUAACAACUUGGACCGCAUGGUCCGAGYUUGAAAGAUGGCUUCGGCUAUCACUUUUGGAUGGUCCCRCGGCGUAUUAGCUAGAUGGUGGGGUAACGGCUCACCAUGGCAAUGAUACGUAGCCGACCUGAGAGGGUAAUCGGCCACAUUGGGACUGAGACACGGCCCAAACUCCUACGGGAGGCAGCAGUAGGGAAUCUUCCACAAUGGACGAAAGUCUGAUGGAGCAACGCCGCGUGAGUGAAGAAGGGUUUCGGCUCGUAAAACUCUGUUGUUAAAGAAGAACAUAUCUGAGAGUAACUGUUCAGGUAUUGACGGUAUUUAACCAGAAAGCCACGGCUAACUACGUGCCAGCAGCCGCGGUA
This 552-nucleotide ribosomal RNA is filed under the name Lactiplantibacillus plantarum. RNAcentral's name for it is "bacterial SSU rRNA". It matches the Rfam family "Bacterial small subunit ribosomal RNA", at positions 1 to 522 of the family's 1533-position model. The record is from RNAcentral. Lineage: Bacteria; Bacillati; Bacillota; Bacilli; Lactobacillales; Lactobacillaceae.